Molecule: transfer RNA, 73 nt
Filed under: Mizuhopecten yessoensis (Yesso scallop)
Lineage: Eukaryota; Metazoa; Mollusca; Bivalvia; Pectinida; Pectinidae
Description: tRNA-Ser
Rfam family: tRNA
About the family: Transfer RNA (tRNA) molecules are approximately 80 nucleotides in length. Their secondary structure includes four short double-helical elements and three loops (D, anti-codon, and T loops). Further hydrogen bonds mediate the characteristic L-shaped molecular structure. tRNAs have two regions of fundamental functional importance: the anti-codon, which is responsible for specific mRNA codon recognition, and the 3' end, to which the tRNAs corresponding amino acid is attached (by aminoacyl-tRNA synthetases). tRNAs cope with the degeneracy of the genetic code in two manners: having more than one tRNA (with a specific anti-codon) for a particular amino acid; and 'wobble' base-pairing, i.e. permitting non-standard base-pairing at the 3rd anti-codon position.
Source: Rfam by way of RNAcentral
GACCAGAUAGCUCAAUUGGUAGAGCAUCCGUCUAGAGUUCGAAGGGUCCCGGGUUCGAACCCCGGUCUGGCCG